UACGUAGGAUCCAAGCGUUGUCCGGAUUUACUGGGUGUAAAGGGUGCGCAGGCGGGCUGGUUAGUCUGUGGUGAAAUCUCAUCGCUCAACGGUGAAACUGCCUUAGAUACUGCCAGUCUUGAAUAAGCGAGAGAUCCGUGGAAUUCCGAGUGUAGCAGUGAAAUGUGUAGAUAUUCGGAAGAACACCAGCGGCGAAGGCAGCGGGUUGGCGCUUUAUUGACGCUCAGGCACGAAAGCAUGGGGAUCAAACAGG
RNAcentral lists this ribosomal RNA (253 nucleotides) under uncultured bacterium. Its description in RNAcentral is "partial 16S ribosomal RNA". It matches the Rfam family "Bacterial small subunit ribosomal RNA", at positions 524 to 776 of the family's 1533-position model. The record is from RNAcentral.